RNAcentral lists this ribosomal RNA (301 nucleotides) under uncultured bacterium. Its description in RNAcentral is "partial 16S ribosomal RNA". It matches the Rfam family "Bacterial small subunit ribosomal RNA", at positions 509 to 807 of the family's 1533-position model. The record is from RNAcentral.
CAGCAGCCGCGGUAACACGGAGGGUGCAAGCGUUAAUCGGAAUUACUGGGCGUAAAGCGCACGCAGGCGGUUUGUUAAGACAGAUGUGAAAUCCCCGGGCUCAACCUGGGAACUGCAUUUGUGACUGGCAAGCUAGAGUCUGGCAGAGGGGGGUGGAAUUCCGCGUGUAGCAGUGAAAUGCGUAGAUAUGCGGAGGAACACCGAUGGCGAAGGCAGCCCCCUGGGCCAACACUGACGCUCAUGCACGAAAGCGUGGGGAGCAAACAGGAUUAGAUACCCGGGUAGUCCCUGUCUCUUAUAC